Molecule: ribosomal RNA, 720 nt
Filed under: bacterium symbiont of Buliminella tenuata
Lineage: Bacteria
Description: bacterial SSU rRNA
Rfam family: Bacterial small subunit ribosomal RNA
Source: RNAcentral
GGUAGUCUAGGGCGUAAACGAUGAAGGUUAACGGUUCGUUGAUUGUUUAAUCGGCGUAAGCGAGUCGUACAGCUAACGCAUUAAACCUUCCGCCUGAAGAUUACGAUGGCAACAUUAAAAUUUAAAGAAAUUGACGUGAAGACAUAUAUACGGUGGAACAUGAGGUUUAAUUCGUAUCUACGCGAAAAACCUUACCUACGUUUGAAUUAGUUUAAUGCCUGACGGUGACGUCAGGUAGGCUUAUGUCAACUCUAACAGGUGCUGCGUGGCUGUCGUCAAUUCGUGCCGUGAGGUCUUAAGUUAAGUCUGGUAACGAAUGCAACCCUCAUCUGUAGUUAUUAACCGAUAUUCGGAUAACCCCUACAGAAACUGCCCAUGAAAGUGGGAGGAAGGAGAGGAUGACGUCAAGUCUUUAUGGCCCUUAUGCGUAGGGCUACACUCAUGUUACAAUGGAUGAUACAGAGGGUUGUGAAGGGGUGACCCGGAACUAAUCUCUAAAAUCAUUCUUAGUCCGGAUUGUAGUCUGCAACUCGACUACAUGAAGCCGAAAUCGUUAGUAAUCGCGGAUCAGAACGCCGCGGUGAAUUCAUCUACUGUCUUCUGUACACACUGCCCGUCACACGGAAGGAUUCGGGAUGUUUCAAAGGCAGCCCGAUCGAUUAUUCGAUCGAGUGCUUAUUAAUGUCCAGCUGACUUCUGUUAAGUCGUAACAAGGUAACC